ACGCACGCUGGCGGCGUGCUUCACCCCUGCAAGUCGAACGGUGAAGCGCCUUCCUUUUUGGUGGGUGUGGAUGAGUGGCGAACGGGUGAGUAACACGUGAGUAACCUGCCCCCUUCUUCUGGAUAACCGCAUGAAAGUGUGGCUAAUACGGGAUAUUCUGGGUCUGUCGCAUGAUGGGUCUGGGAAAGAUAUUGUUUCGGUGGGGGAUGGGCUCGCGGCCUAUCAGCUUGUUGGUGGGGUGAUGGCCUACCAAGGCGGUGACGGGUAGCCGGCCUGAGAGGGUGGACGGUCACACUGGGACUGAGACACGGCCCAGACUCCUACGGGAGGCAGCAGUGGGGAAUAUUGCACAAUGGGCGCAAGCCUGAUGCAGCGACGCCGCGUGAGGGAUGGAGGCCUUCGGGUUGUGAACCUCUUUCGCCAGUGAAGCAGGCCUGCCUCGUUUGUGGGUGGGUUGACGGUAGCUGGAUAAGAAGCGCCGGCUAACUACGUG
RNAcentral lists this ribosomal RNA (493 nucleotides) under uncultured bacterium. RNAcentral describes it as "partial 16S ribosomal RNA". It matches the Rfam family "Bacterial small subunit ribosomal RNA", at positions 29 to 507 of the family's 1533-position model. The record is from RNAcentral.